RNAcentral lists this long non-coding RNA (8273 nucleotides) under Erythranthe guttata (spotted monkey flower). RNAcentral describes it as "long non-coding RNA (EGUT_LNC000632)". The record is from RNAcentral. Lineage: Eukaryota; Viridiplantae; Streptophyta; Magnoliopsida; Lamiales; Phrymaceae.
UGUCAGAGUCAUAAUCAAUUUCACUUUUUAGAUCUAAAUAAAUCUCAAUUUAAUCUUUAUUUACGGAUCGUUGAACUUGUCAAAUGAGAUGAAUACUGUUUUUAUUACAACAGUUAUGAUCCGAUUCUCCUCCCAUCGCAAAUUGCUGUUUGUCUCGAAGAAUAAGGCGGAUACAUAGAAGUAUGAGUUAUAAUAUACGAUGGUACGUAUCUGAAUUUAUCUUGUACAUUUUCAUAAGAUUGUCUUCAAGUAGUGUCUAAAAUUUAACUUUUUUAUGUAUGCAACAUUUUAAAUUAAAAGAAUGCGUUUAUUCAUCGUCACUUUCUAGAUGCCAAAUAGAAAAUCGUCUCUUUAUUUUUUUGGAAAUCAGUACAAUUCUUGUUGUACCUCGUUUUAUUAUUUACUAGCAUUUUUCCCCGUGCGAUGCACGGUAUCGAAUUUUAAAAUUGAAAAAAAAUAAUCAAUUUAACAAAUUGAAUUUCUAUCUUUAUUUUUUAUGAUUUGGGAUAUAUUGAUGAAAAACAGGAGGUUGAAGUAUUUUUCACGAUUCAUCAGUUUGAUAAUUGUUGAAAAUAUAGUUAAAAUUAGUAAAAAAAAAAAAAAUUAAAAAUAACUAAUUACAGAAAUGUAAUUAGGGUUUUUUAGGGUUGCCCAGCGUUUCUUUCUUUUAUAUAUAAGAUAACUGUUAGCUGCCAUAAGUAAAAAUAACUAGUGCUGCUCGACUCAUUUGACGAAAUGAAUGUUAACGACUGGUUUUCAUUAUGAUCUAUAUACAUAUUCGUCCACAAUAAACACGUAUACCAAAACAAAUAUUAGAUGCAUGCUCUAAAGAAUUCUUAUUAUAAUUAUUAUAUAUAAUAAUGAUUUUUUGUAAUUGAUUAAUUGCUCCCUAUUGUAGAAUGCAUUGGUCACCAAUAAAUGCUGAUAAUAAAUGCUGAUUUUUGGAUUUUAGCUAUAAGAUUUUUGAUAUAUGGUGCCCAAUUUUAUGAAUUUUCAAGCAAUCGGAUUUGUAUGUUUCCAGUCAAGCAAAAGAAGGUCAAAAAAGGAAAAUGAAAAAUAGUAAUGAAGGAAAAAUAAUAUGUAAAAAGAAGAAUAAAUAAAUGGUAGAAUAUCUGGAUUUGUGAAGAAUUUUAUUACAACUUAUACGAGAAGUACUCGUAACGAUGUUGCAUGGGGUCUUGAAAUAGAAGAUGACAAAUAUGUACAUAAACACGCGCGUAAUUGUUUAGUAUUUAGGGUUUAGGGUUUUUGAUUCGUAAAAUAUAUGUAUGUACGUGUACAACUAUAUACGUACCGUACGAUAUGUAUAUGCGUAUACAUGCCUAAUUUAGCCAUCCCAAACUCCGUUUCCACAUUAUUCUCGAACAAGUUUGUCGAAAUUAAAAUGAAGCUUCAAUUAGAGUUCGUCUGCUUUUCAUCAUGUAAAAUAUUUUAAUUUUAUAUUAUUUGCCAACUUUUAUGUAUUUGUUAUUUUGUUUAUAAUUCAAAUAAUGUUUUAAAUGCUGUAGCUAGUCAUGGAAAUAAUUCAAAAACACACACGAAAUUAUUUACCAAAUUCAUCUUUUCAGAUUUCGUAAUAACUAUCUCUUGACUUUCCUCCCAUUUCAGUCUAGAUUUUGCAAAACCAUUCCUCGAUUCUAUUCUCGUAUUUGCUAAAUCUAUAAUUAAUUUCUUAUUAUGUUGUCAACCAAGACAAGAACUUCAUCUAUUUAACCUCGUUUUCAUUUCGAUUAUUUCUCACUCUCUCAACAUCUUCAAGCCCUUCAUUGCAUCUACGAUUUUUUUUUUCGUUUUUUUCGAAAUAUUUUGUAUAAAAUUUAAAAUGUCACAUGUACGUGGGAGUAAAAAAAAUCCAUCAGUGGACGAGCGCCCCGUAAUUUUGGCACUUGAAUAUCCAAAAUUCAAUGCAUCGAGCUCCGUUCGUCGACCUUCUAUACCUCGACCGAGGAUUCCUAAACACCCCAUUACUUCGUUCGCUGCCGAGCUUUCCCCUUUCAUUGUUACUAUAAAGACUGGAGAGGUUGCUUCCUUUAUUAAUUUUCUGUCUCCUUUUCGUGUUUUUUUUUAUAACAAAAACUCUCUGCAAAAGUUGGUUGAUUGCUCGCAAAUGAAUGUGGCCAAGACAAAGUUCAUGUUUAUUACCGUUUUCUACUAAAAUAUAAAAAUGAUUCGCUUUUUUUUUUUUUUUUUUUUUUUUUUUUUUUCUAUUUUUCAUUUUUCAUUUUUCAUUUUUGAUUUUUGAUUUUUGAUUUUUGCUUCUCUGUGUUGAUUUGAUUAUCUGGAUUGUGAGACCUUUCGAUUUUAUUUGAAUUGAAACUUGAAUGUUUUAUCUAACUUCUAUAGUAAUUGAAUAAAUAGGAGUCCUUUUCGAUACGGCUGCAUUUAUUUGAUUGUACGAUAUUUUGUCUGAAGAGAUCUAUCUUAUCAUAGUUAAAUCGACUAGACGUCACAAAUUAGGGAACAAAACCAAUAAAAGGUACAAAUACGUGACAGAUCGGAAGUUGGAAUUUGUUUUUCUAGGAUGCAAUAAAUAUUCGAAGUUAAGUUCCUUCCCUAAAGGACCAUAUAUGGUUGCAUGUUCACGUAAACACGUCCGACAAAAAUUUAAAACGACAUUCUUUAAAUGUCUAGGAUUUUGACGUCACGUCUUCGUAUAUUUUUUUAUUUUUAUUGAGUUAAUAAAUCUCUAUAUUCCGCCACAAUCUGAUAUUUUGAUCGGAUUUUAAAAUUAUGAUAAUUUCCUAAACGUGCAACUUUAGUGCAAUUUACACGAUAUCUUGUUUUAUUUUUAUUUUUUGAAUUUUUUUUUUUUUUUUUUUUUGUGGUUUUAGGACAUUGGGAGAAGGAUACGAGAUUCGUUCGAAGAGCGUAACGGUGGAGGUUUGUCAGUGGAAGGAUGUAUAUAUACUGUAUCAGGCGAUAUAUCGAAUCCUAGAAUACAUAUAAACGGCUCCUCACCAACUGUAUUUGAGGUAAUUCAUUCUUUCCUACCAUAUCUCUGUACAUAGUAGAGUCGAUCGUACGUAUUCGUUUCUUCCUGUAAUAGUUUUCCCGCUACAUAAUGUACGAAAUAAUAUAGCAGAACAUGAUUAACUUUAGCUAUUUAGCUUGAAGCAAUAAACAAUGCAGUGUAUUAGAUUUCGUCAUUUAGUGGGGAAUUCGUGCAGAUUUUAGUAACUUCUCUGUGCAGAUAAUUUUUAACCAAUUUAUCAUUUCUAAAAAAACAAUUAAAUUAUGUACCUUUUUUUUUUUUUUUUUGUGUACGAUAUAAUUAUCGAAAAAGGCAUGAAAAAUAUGUUAUCAUCUGUAUAAUACAUCAACUUACGAAGAACAAUUUAUUGUUAUACUUGCAGGGUAAUUUUUCCAUAGCGACCCUCACAGGCCGUUUCGUAAUAUCUAAUAACGGACCUGUACAGCUGGACUAUUUGAAGGUCAGCUUUCAACCACAGGAUGUGCUUGUCUGUGGUACUACGAUUGGGCCUUUGAUAGCUGGUUGUGCUGUUCAGGUUAGCUUUUUCUCGUACAAUAGUUCUUCGCGAUGUUCUUAAUUAGGAUAAAAUCAAACGAUUCGUCCUCCAUUUAGAAUAACGAAUUUUCACUAUGUAUUUAUUUUAUUUUUCAUUUCUUUUUGUCCGAAUAAUCGUCAUUUAGUGGGGAAAUUGUGCAAAUUUAGCAACAAUUCUGUGCAAUUAAUAUUUGUGCAUUUUAUGUGAGACCAAAUAAUCGUACAAUAGUUGUUAUUUAUGUUCGAACCGUAUUUUUAUUCAAUUUUUCUUGCUAGUUUUAGCCAUAUCUGAUCACUAAUUAUGUUACAGUAUAUUUUCUAUUAAUUGAGAAAAUAGAAGAAAAAAAAGAAUGCAUUAUCCAACAUUUAAAUGUCUUUCCAAAAGAUUUUUUUUUUUUUUUGUUUUCUCUCAUUUUUCUUUGAAAUAUAUUUAAUUCAAUUGAAGGUAUAACUAAAUGAGAAUUCGAUGCUAUGAUUUUGUUUUUGCGUAGCCGUAACCCAACUAAUGUUAAUUUUAAUGCAGGUCACUCUAGGUUAUGCCAGGUUGGAUAACGGAGAAACGAGCACCGCUCCUCUUCAGUCACCAUAGCGCACCUCUGAGGGCGUUGCCGUAAACGAAAAUGCCCUUGUAAUAAUUUGAAUUGAUUUGAAAUGUAAUCGAGGGUUUUAGAUUGGUUGGCUAUCUACAUUCGGGAUGCAGACUAUAUUCGUCUGGAUGACUAUUCGACAUAUUUUACUCCGACAUUUAUCCGUUUUAUAGAACAAUUAGUAGAUUGUGACAGCAUUACAUGAUUUCGAUUUCUUGACUCGUAAAUUUGGUUGAAGUCACAUGUGAUGCUGUGUUCAACAAACUGUAUACAUUACUAUACAUUACUAUACAUUACUAUAGUAACAUGUAGUUACAUAUGCGUAUAUUUGUGUGUUUUUUAUUUGUAUUUUAUUGGUUUUGAGAUGAUUUAUAAUAUAAAUAUUGAAAUUUGUAAAUUUUUGUUGUUUGGGUUUAUGAAUUUUUUUUUGUAUUAGCCAGUAUUCGUGUGUGUAUAUAAUUGAUCGACUAAAAAUAUGGGCUAAAAAAAAGAACAUAACUAUGAAUUACUAUAGGUACUACAUGUAGUUAUUUUCAGUACUGUAAACAUAUUGUUUUGAAAAUUAAAAAAAAAAAUUAAAAAAAAAUAAAAAAAAAAUAUAAUUUUUUUUAAUUAAAAAAAAUUUAAAAAAUUAAAAAAAUAAAUAUAUAUAUAUAUUUAACAAACAGAUUUAUAAAAAAAAAAAAGGAAAAUAAUAAUAAAUAAAUCAGCGAAAAUGAUAAAUGCAGGACCAUUAAUGCUGAAUGCAGUUUGGCCGAAAAUUGCACAAAAGGGUAGUAUAGUACUUUCGCUUCCCCAGGGGAAUUGUCAAAGGAUGAUUUGGGUUUGGGUUUAUCCCUAGUUUAUUUGGUGGCUAGGGGGUAUGUAAAAUAACUCCAUCGAACAAUUAGUGGAUUGUGAGUACAUUACAUGAUUUGACGGGAAAACGCUCGUGUGGAGCACGUGAGCAUGCUAAAAUAACUCCUUAAUUCUAUUUUUGAUCGAUCUAGCCUCAAAUUCCAUUUAUUCCUACAAUUUUGUCCAAAAAAAAAACAUAAAAUCUCUAUUAAAUCGAUGAAUGUGGAGCUCGAAUCGUGGUUAACUUCAAUAAAACUCGUUAGAUUGAAUUUCACUAGUUUUGCUUGACUUCAUUAACGGCUAAAAUAAGAAGCUUGGUAGUAUACGAGUGUCUUAGUAUAAAUAAUUAUAACGGAUUGUUUAUAGCACGUUUACACUCGUAAUUGGAGUAGUUUGAAAUCGACACAACCGUUUAAACUGCCUCAUCAUAGUAGAUGAGUUUAGGGUUGUGUGUUGGUUUGGUUGGUUAAAAACCAGCCAUAAAACCAACCCAACUCAUCCAAUCAACUUUGCUUAAUAUUAGAAAUCAUUAUCGACCCAAUUUAUAUAGAUUUACAGUUUAAAACCACAUGGUGUGUUUCACCUGGUGUAAGAUCUCUUCCAGCUAACAUUUCUUUCUCAGCAUUGCCAACUACCAAAAACGUUAACCGAUUUAAUAGAAACAAGUGCAACUCCCUCUUUUCUUCAAAACGACGCAGCUUCAAUACAAAAUUAAACCUAAAUUCCCAAAUCAAACAGCCCUAAUUCAUCACAAGAUUCAUAUCUCAAACUCAAUGCAAACAUUUAGAAAAUAAAAUGUAAUGAAUUCCCAAAGUUACGAAUGGGUCUUCAUCUCUAUCAUCGGACUCUGAGGUACGAAUUUCUGCUCUCCUCAUUCCCUCUCUCUCUCUACCAUUCAAAUCAAAGCGAAUUAAAAAUUCAAUUAUUUGCUGAUUUUUUUCUGUGUUUUCUUUUUCCCAGUUUCAUAUACAUAGGAAAAUGUAAUUCUUAAAUGCAAUGUAGAAAUACUAGAUACUACGAGCUGGUUUUGAGUUGCGAUUUUAAGAGUCAUUACAGAAAAUAUAAUUUAUUUUUUUCCUUUAUUCAAUGUUGAUAUCGAGGGUGCAUUUUGCCAAUCAAAUUUGCAAUUUAACGGUGCAAAGUGCCAAAUUUGCAAUUUAAGGGUGCAAAGUGCCAAUUACCCCAUUAGGUAUAUAGUAUAUACUGUGUACUUAGUGCGUACAUUUCGUUCAUGAAUUCAGUGUAGAUAAAAUCAUUGCUUAAUUUAUACUCUAAGAUUUAAUUACUUUUGCAAGAUUUAAUUUUUCGUUUUGAUUCUCAAUGCAAUAGGGAUGUUUAAGACAAUUUGUUCCGCAUUUGUACCUGAUUUCAGAUCCCGGAAUUUUGCAUGAGCGACGUUGUUAACUGCAACAAAAAUCUGCGUUCGGUGAAUUUAGUCAUUCCCAUUAGUUUCAGUGGACUUUAAUUGGGAAUAUUAAUCUUCCAAAUUUAGCUGAGAGGACUUUAAUCAAAGGACUUCCUAUAAACGAGGGAAAAUUAUUUUGUAACGUAAACUGAAUAAACAUAUCAAUUACCUCACCAUUAAAAACAAAAAAUAAAUAAAAAAUACUGUGCUUUAAAGAUGCUACAGUUGACAAUUCAUAUUGCUAUGGUUGACGACUAGAUUAAUUUAUAAAAAAAAAAAAAAAGAAUUUGUGCCAAUGAACACUUCAUUAUACAAUCGAUGGUAUAUAAAUUAUUAUUUGGGGUAAUAUCUAUGUGCAGAUCUUAUAUAAAUUCUAUGCUGAAUUAAGUCACCUUAUAUAUUGGAUAUGCUGAUUUCUUGUGCCGAUUGAAUGAUGAUAUAAAAGUCCGUUCUUUGUUUGAACGAGCACUAAGUUCCCUUCCACCCGAUGAAUCCGUUGGCGUACAUAAGUCUUCUAUUUAUUCACUCUGUUUUUGCUUUAGUUGCAAACGUUCUGCAGUUUACAUAUGUUGAAUUUUUUGAUAGCAUGUCAUUUGAUUUUCCGUUGUCGCAAAACAUAACUUCCAAAGGAAAGUGAUAACUGGUUAACUAUGAGCGUGAAACCGAAACAUGGUUAAUUAUAUAAAAUUUUACAUUAUACACUUUUAUUUGCAUGUAGCUUUAUUUUGUAUAUUUUGAAAACUUAAAUAGUUGAAUAGCUACGUGUUUUCAGAAUUAUAUACUAUUCGAAAAGAGGUGAAUUAUAUACUCUUACGUAACAUAAUUUUGAGCACGCUGUGGUUAAGUUUCGCUUUUAAUCUCUCCCUUUUUCUUUUUAUAAUUAUAUAUUGUUUCUAACCCGCUCUGUAUAACAUAUUAGAAUAUAAAACGUAGAUGAUUACUUUAUUGAACGGUUCCCCAUUAUUGUAUUGAGAUGACAAUACAGUUACGUAUUUCCGCGUUUAUUGUAUAUCAAAUUCACCUUUUAGUGUACCUACUUUCACUUAUUUCUAUAUAUGGUAGAUUUUGUUGACACAAUAUAAUAGAUAAUUUUGUAUACUGUUAAAACUUUAUCUUCCUUUUCUUUAUCUCCUUUUUUUUUUUUUUUUUUAUUUAUUUUUUACUUUGGAAUAUUUGAUUUACAUGCAGCACGUAUAAUCUGCACGAUCGAAAAAUUGUUUCUUCAUUUGUCAGAUUCAUAAACAAUUUCACUUUUUAGAUCUAAAUAAAUCUCAAUUAAAUAUUUAUUCACGGAUCGUCGAACUUGUCAAAUGAGAUGAAUACUGUUUUUAUUACGACAGUUAUGAUCCAAGGUGGAGGCGUACGUCUACACCAUAGUCCGAUUCUCCUCCAAUGGCAAAGUGAUGUUUGUCUCGAAGAAUAAGGCGGAUGCAUAGAAGUAUGAGUUAUAAUAUCCGAUGGUACGUAUCUGAAUUUAUCUUUUACAUUUCAUAAGAUUGUCUUCAUUCAUGUACUGUCUAACAGUUAACUUUUUAGACUAAAAGAAUGCGUUUAUUCAUCGUCACUUUCUAGAUGCCAAAUAGAAAAUCGUCUCUUUAUUUUUGUGGGAAUUAGUACAAUUCUUGUUGUAUGUUUUACCAACUCUAUUUUAAUACUUGCACCUCGGUUUAUUCUUUAUAACUGUUAGCUGCUGUAAGUUAAAAUAACUAGUGCUUCUCGACCCCGUUUGUAAGUUGUAAUGUUUAAGAGAUCACGGAUUUGAAUUUUAAUUCUCAUUGAGUAUGUCUUUAAUGUUGAGUUUUAUAAAUUUUUAUUUUAGUUUGUCAAUUUUCAGGGCUUAUUUGACAAAAACUUUGGGCCAUUUGAUGAACUGGUUUUCGUUAUGAUCUAUAUUCUUACACAAUAAACACGUAUACCAAAACAAAUCAUUAGAUGCAUG